CAGAACCUCUAUAUGGGAAAACAGCCUCAAAAUAAGAGUGCCAUAAUAUGAAUAAGGGCUAUUUCAACACAGAGUGAUAAGUUAUUAGUGCUUCACUAUUAUCUUUUCUUGAGUUCUAAUGUCUCUCAGAAGAAACACGAGAUAAAAAUUGGGAAGAUUUCUUAAUGCAACAUCAAUAACAAGAAUAUCUUAACCUUCUAGAAAGAAGAUUGAGGAAGAAGAAUUCAAAAAGUCUCCAGUGAGUAAUCAUAAAAGAUGGCAAGUCCAGGAACCAGCAGAUGGUCAUAACCGCCAAAGUCAUUGCUCAGGGAAAGAACUUGCUCAGUUUUAUUUGCAUUCACUGAUGUUUUGGAAAACUGUCCUUCAAAACUGACAGCUGUUUUGAGAAGCAGCAACUGCAUUGUGACACCCACCUGGGCCUCUCUGGGCCAUAAGACAAGGGAACCUGACAUGAUCAUUAAGCUCCUGCUUCUUUCUGUGCCGCAAGCAAUAAAGUCCUCUGACUCUGA
Long non-coding RNA from Suricata suricatta (meerkat), 509 nucleotides. RefSeq lists it as uncharacterized. Lineage: Eukaryota; Metazoa; Chordata; Mammalia; Carnivora; Herpestidae. The record is from RefSeq and is a predicted model, not a curated record. The transcript has 5 exons.